This 920-nucleotide ribosomal RNA is filed under the name Lactiplantibacillus paraplantarum. Its description in RNAcentral is "bacterial SSU rRNA". It matches the Rfam family "Bacterial small subunit ribosomal RNA", at positions 374 to 1286 of the family's 1533-position model. Lineage: Bacteria; Bacillati; Bacillota; Bacilli; Lactobacillales; Lactobacillaceae. The record is from RNAcentral.
GACGAAAGUCUGAUGGAGCAACGCCGCGUGAGUGAAGAAGGGUUUCGGCUCGUAAAACUCUGUUGUUAAAGAAGAACAUAUCUGAGAGUAACUGUUCAGGUAUUGACGGUAUUUAACCAGAAAGCCACGGCUAACUACGUGCCAGCAGCCGCGGUAAUACGUAGGUGGCAAGCGUUGUCCGGAUUUAUUGGGCGUAAAGCGAGCGCAGGCGGUUUUUUAAGUCUGAUGUGAAAGCCUUCGGCUCAACCGAAGAAGUGCAUCGGAAACUGGGAAACUUGAGUGCAGAAGAGGACAGUGGAACUCCAUGUGUAGCGGUGAAAUGCGUAGAUAUAUGGAAGAACACCAGUGGCGAAGGCGGCUGUCUGGUCUGUAACUGACGCUGAGGCUCGAAAGUAUGGGUAGCAAACAGGAUUAGAUACCCUGGUAGUCCAUACCGUAAACGAUGAAUGCUAAGUGUUGGAGGGUUUCCGCCCUUCAGUGCUGCAGCUAACGCAUUAAGCAUUCCGCCUGGGGAGUACGGCCGCAAGGCUGAAACUCAAAGGAAUUGACGGGGGCCCGCACAAGCGGUGGAGCAUGUGGUUUAAUUCGAAGCUACGCGAAGAACCUUACCAGGUCUUGACAUACUAUGCAAAUCUAAGAGAUUAGACGUUCCCUUCGGGGACAUGGAUACAGGUGGUGCAUGGUUGUCGUCAGCUCGUGUCGUGAGAUGUUGGGUUAAGUCCCGCAACGAGCGCAACCCUUAUUAUCAGUUGCCAGCAUUAAGUUGGGCACUCUGGUGAGACUGCCGGUGACAAACCGGAGGAAGGUGGGGGAUGACGUCAAAUCAUCAUGCCCCUUAUGACCUGGGCUACACACGUGCUACAAUGGAUGGUACAACGAGUUGCGAACUCGCGAGAGUAAGCUAAUCUCUUAAAGCCAUU